UUUAUCAUUAUGAGAUGUAUUGAAUAUUAAAAUAUAAUAUUGUUUAUUAUAAUAAAAAAGUUUAAUUGCUGUGUGACAAAAACCAUCUGCAAACAUUGUAAAUCCAUGUGUAAAUUAUCAAAAUUUAUUCAAUGUUGUAUGUACAGCACACAUUUUACAAACUGUGAAGUUCAAAAUGUAUUACAAAGUAAAAACACCCUGAAAAGGCUGAUUCAGGUAAAGAACUGGAAAGAAAGUAUAAUGUAGGACUUGUUUCUUUUUUCAGUACAUUAUUUUGCUGAUUUUUCUGUGUUUCUGACCAUUUCUUACAAGGUUUGGAUGAAAUAAGUUAAAAAUGAAACCUCAAUUCAACAUUUAAAAGAUAAUGUUACAGCAUGUUUCUUUCCUAAAUGAAAGAAAAACUAGGAUUAACAUAAUCAGUCUGGUAGUAUUGAUUAAUACAACAGGUGUAGUCAGAGCUAUCAGGCACAGUAAAAUUAGAAAGAAUAAUCAGCUUUUCAGAGAUUCUGAGAAGUAACCCAAACAUUGCAGGAUUUCAAAUGUCCACUUUUAGUAAUGAAGCAAACACAAAUCAUCAUAUAUACUUGAGAAAAUCAUUGCAGAUGCAUGAUGUGUCCCAUGGAAACUGACAACAUAUAAAGGCACAUGAGAAAGAAAAUGGCCCUUGUGAAGCAAUCCUGCAACCAUCUUUCACCUGAGACCACUUUAGUAUCACUUCACUCCCAUAACAGGUUGUCAAUUAUGACUCCAAUGAAGAGAUUCAGAGUGAAAAAUGAACCGAAGAUGAUGAAAAAGACAAAGUAAAGUUUCACUCUCUGGUUCUGUAAGGUGCACAUUUUGGGAUCACACAGAACUUGUUUUGGAAAGAAGGAAGCCAUGGUUGAGCUAGGAGCUUGAUUCAAGAGUGUGGCAAAGACUAGAAGAGGCCGUUUCCUGGGCCAAGAGUUUUACUGGCCAUGGUUCUUUGCUUUACAAAUAUCAGCUGUGGGUACAUAGGAGCUGUUUACUCUGAUUCCAUUGGCAUCUACACAAUGAUAGAACUUCCCAGCAAACAUCUGAACUCCCAUG
Molecule: long non-coding RNA, 1068 nt
Organism: Limulus polyphemus (Atlantic horseshoe crab)
Lineage: Eukaryota; Metazoa; Arthropoda; Merostomata; Xiphosura; Limulidae
Exons: 4
Source: RefSeq, a predicted model, not a curated record